RNAcentral lists this ribosomal RNA (469 nucleotides) under uncultured bacterium. Its description in RNAcentral is "bacterial SSU rRNA". It matches the Rfam family "Bacterial small subunit ribosomal RNA", at positions 28 to 491 of the family's 1533-position model. The record is from RNAcentral.
GAUGAACGCUAGCGGCAGGCUUAACACAUGCAAGUCGAGGGGCAGCACGGGUAGCAAUACCUGGUGGCGACCGGCGCAAGGGUGCGUAACGCGUGAGCAACAUGCCCUAUACAGGGGGAUAAUCCAGGGAAACUUGGUCUAAUAUCCCAUAGUAUUUAGAGGAGGCAUCUUCUAUAAAUUAAAGCUUCGGUGGUAUAGGAUUGGCUCGCGUGACAUUAGCUAGAUGGUGAGGUAACGGCUCACCAUGGCAAUGAUGUCUAGGGGUUCUGAGAGGAAGGCCCCCCACACUGGGACUGAGACACGGCCCAGACUCCUACGGGAGGCAGCAGUGAGGAAUAUUGGACAAUGGAUGGAAAUACUGAUCCAGCCAUGCCGCGUGCAGGAAGACAGCCCUAUGGGUUGUAAACUGCUUUUAUAUGGGAGCAAUAAGGUCUACGUGUAGACUGAUGAGAGUACCAUAUGAAUAAGC